This is a long non-coding RNA of Vicia villosa (hairy vetch), 1620 nucleotides long. RefSeq lists it as uncharacterized. The transcript is spliced from 3 exons. NCBI's taxonomy places the organism in Eukaryota, Viridiplantae, Streptophyta, Magnoliopsida, Fabales, Fabaceae. The record is from RefSeq and is a predicted model, not a curated record.
GUCAAAUUUUCAAGGAAACUAAUUUCCCCCUUGCAACUGAGGUUGCGCGUAAAGUUGUUUCUGCUCCUCUGCUCUUUGGAGGUGCUAACCGAAAUAAGAUGGCUAACUGGAAUAAACCAAGGUAACCCAUGGUCCAUUUGAGAUAUUGGUGACAUCAUUAAUGUGCCUCCCAUUUUAUAAGUUUAUUUCUUGGCUAAAGGAGUUGGUCUGAUAUUAGGAAUGAAUUGAGAGCCAGUCACAUGUUUAUGGAAUUCUGAAAUGCUUGCAUAAUAUCAUAGUAAUUUUAUCCUGCAAAUACUUCAUGGAUUGAUAUUUGAUGUUCUUUGGAAUAUGGAUGUUCAUCCUACAUAAGUGGAGUUAUGUUGUUUGAACAGACUUGUGAUGUGAAGGGAUAUUACUAGUUAGAAGAAACCUCUUGUGCCAGAAGCAUGUCACUAGGAAUGAUAACUUUAGACCGUUCUUUCUAUUGUAUAUGAUUCUCAUCAUGAGGGGAACUGUUACCAUAAAACCAUUUAAGGGCGAUCAUAAAUCUGACUUUCCAAAGUUGCAGGAUAUGCCAAAACUUAACCGUUGCACAUAACUGUUGUCUAUGAAUGAAGAGCUGAAACAAGCUAGAAAACUGUUUGAACACGAUGAAGAGAAUCGGAGGAAGGUUUUUGAGGGAGAUGAACCUGCAGGAGGAUGAAUGAUUAAGAUUGUUGAAAUACAAUGAAGUUGCAUUCUAGAUUAGGACUGACGUGCUAUCACUUUGUUGGUUAUUAUGUAUUUCAAUUUUGAGAGCAAUUUAAAUAGCACCGAUUUGUUUUGGCUGUGAAAUAUCCAUGGCUGGCAUGAAAUGCACGUUGAGACGUAAACUACAUGUGGUUUUGUUUUUUCACAGUAAAAUUGCAUUUCAGUGUUCUCCCAAACAUGUACUUAAUGUUAAUAUUUGAAUAUAAUGUCUAUAACCCAUUCCUGCAAUUGAGUAGCAUGAUUGAAGUUGUGUUCAAACUCUUUCAUAACACAUACUCGCUAAUAUAACAUGAUUUUGGUUAAAAUUAGAUGUUGAGUGGCUUUGAAUUAAAAUUGAUUUUGCUGUCAAAUCUUGGUUUAAUUAAAUUAAUUUAACAACAUCACAUUUAUUCAAAACCAUGUUUAAUAAUAUUCUCUUUUUUCACUAUAGCUUGCAAUUUUCAUCUUCAACCUUUAAAACACUGUCAAAUAUUUGUACACCCUAUUUAUCUUUUAUUCAUUCAUCAUCUAUUUUCAUCAGCCGCCGCAGAAAGACAGACAUCCAUUUUCAUCGAGUUUGACGGUCGCUGCAGACAAACAACAUGUUGGACGUCACCCUAUUCAGAGAGGAAAAUGACAAUGGAAACCCCGAACUCAUCCGCGAAUCCCAACGCCGACUCACCAGUGUUGAAGUAGUUGAUGACGUUAUUAGUGUCGACAAACAAUGGCGAAAUCGUACUCAUCUCUCUCUAAAGCGACAAUAAUUGCAUCAACCUAAUCUUGUUUUGUUGCAGGUCAGUUUGAUUUGGAGAAUCUCUGAAAAAUAAUAACAAUAAAUUUCUAGCAAAUAAUUAGCUUAACAUGUCACAAUAUUCUGGAUUUGAUUAUACCAAACAGUAUAUGGCAGGA